UCCAGCAUGAAGCAACACAACUUUCAUCAAGUUGUGGAUGGCGUUUAAACACCCGAUGGACAUCCAUUGAAAGGAUUUACAGAUGAUCUGCAGUUCUCCUGUCUAUGUGUGGACAUGGAAGACUUCAGAUGCUUCACAAAACACAAAAAGAAAAGCAUCAGAAGAGUAUAAUUGGAUGUGUUCAAGACCUCAGGGAAAGGUCCAAAACAAGUGUGUGGUUCCUUCCAGACUUACCCGACAUGAUGCUGCACAGACUCUGCAGGAAGUGUGUGUCUGAGCGUUUGGAG
This is a long non-coding RNA of Carassius auratus (goldfish), 287 nucleotides long. RefSeq lists it as uncharacterized. NCBI's taxonomy places the organism in Eukaryota, Metazoa, Chordata, Actinopteri, Cypriniformes, Cyprinidae. The record is from RefSeq and is a predicted model, not a curated record. The transcript is spliced from 3 exons.